GUGGCGGGCGGAGUGGCCCAAGCGUUUCAAAGUAGCGGACACACGGAAAGAAGAAAUAUGAUGGCAGAGUCUACGCUAGAGCUGAAGAGGAUGAACACCUUUGGCCUCACAUACAAAGAAUGUUUCGCUUAAAAGCAGCACAAAAGAACAGCUGUGUCUGCAGUGUCGGUGUCUUCAGGGAGAGCCAAAACAAACCAACUUCUCAGCGUGAAACAAAUCAGCUCGUAACCUGAUGAAACGGUCUCCACUUCAUCAGACAUCACCUGGGUGAGGCCAGCACAAACAGCGGCCUAUUCGAUGGAUCCAUGGGGUCAGGAAAGCCAGUAGCAGAGGAACAGAAGCUGUUGAUCAAAGUUAAUACAGCUCUUCCUGCAUCUGCAGCCUGUGAGAGACUUUUUAGUCAUGCAGGACUCCUGUUCACUGCCAAACGGUCACAGCUUCACAGCAAGAACCUUGAGAGCCAACUGCUGCUGAAGCUGAAGCACCAUUUUACUGACUGAAGAAACAAUUUAUGGUAAAGUGAGCCAUACACAUAUGUACAUCCACAUAGUGGGAAUUUGUAUUUGUCUUUUAUAAUUACUUUUACUCUGAUUUCAGUGUUUAUUUGUGAGUGUAGUUUUUACAUUUUUACAUAUUACAUUGUGUUAAUCCACUGUCUAUACUUCAGGGUAUUUUAGUAUACAAAAUAAGUUUUGUUUGAAUGCCUAUUCCUGUGGAAUUUUAGCACAGAUGCUUUGUUUUGUUUUGUUUUGUUUUUUUAAUUCCUGCUGUCCGCCUUGGAAAUAAACUUUUCCUGAUUGUA
Long non-coding RNA from Oreochromis aureus, 802 nucleotides. RefSeq lists it as uncharacterized. The transcript has 2 exons. Lineage: Eukaryota; Metazoa; Chordata; Actinopteri; Cichliformes; Cichlidae. The record is from RefSeq and is a predicted model, not a curated record.